This 349-nucleotide ribosomal RNA is filed under the name Haideoporus texanus. RNAcentral's name for it is "partial 12S ribosomal RNA". Lineage: Eukaryota; Metazoa; Arthropoda; Insecta; Coleoptera; Dytiscidae. The record is from RNAcentral.
UAUAAAUGUAAAUUUUUACUUAAGUAGUAUUAGUUAUGAUCUUGAAAUUUAAAAAUUUUGGCGGUAUUUUAGUCUUUUCAGAGGAACCUGUUCUAUGAUUGAUAGUCCACGAUAGAUUAUACUUUAUUUUUUAGUUUAUAUAUCGUCGUUUUUAGAUAUUUUAUAAGAAUUUAAAUAUUUAAGAUUUUAUUUAAUUAAGUAGAUCAGAUCAAGGUGUAGCUUAUAAUAAAGGAGAGAUGGGUUACAAUAAAUAUAUUUAAAUGGAUUUGUAUAUGAAAAUAUAUAAUGAAGGUGGAUUUGAUAGUAAUAAGUUUUAUAAUAAAUUUAUGAUUAUGGCUCUAAAAUGUGU